Molecule: long non-coding RNA, 1152 nt
Filed under: Heterocephalus glaber (naked mole-rat)
Lineage: Eukaryota; Metazoa; Chordata; Mammalia; Rodentia; Bathyergidae
Description: lncRNA (ENSHGLG00100040036.1)
Source: RNAcentral
CUGGCUUCCACCUGUGUUUCCCUUUCAGCUGUGCACUGCGGCCCGGGGAACAUUCAGGCCCUUGCUAGUCCAGCUCGCUGCUCGUCUCCAUGUUCACAGGCUUGUCUUGGGCCCUCUUCCAAGUCAGUGGCGGUAAUGUUUUCGAGGGUGCAAAUCCCUCUGCAAUCUGACAAAGGCUCUGGGCAAACUGUGGAGGUUUGCACAGAAUCUCAGGGUCUCACCCGAUCCCCCGCCAAAAGGACUGAGCUGGGCUCAUGGGCACAGGGUCUGCACACCUACUUUCUACUGAUAAAAGCUGCUGCAUUCCUCGAGAAAUCCUCGAGACGGUGCUUUUUAUGAUUUGUUUCCUCCAACGCCGAGCACAGGGCAGCAGCGCUUGGCUGUGUCCUUCUGCACCCACAUCUGGCUCGGAGACCCACCUCCGCCCAAUGGGAAUGUGAGCAUCACAGCUGGGUGCCCUGAGCCCAAGGCUGGGAGACGAAGAGCACCCAGAGCACCCGGCAGACCCGAGGCCUGUGCUGUGCUGCACUGCUGAGCCUUCUGGAGGCCAGCUGCUCACCUCAGCAGGGGCCCCAGGGUACUGACUCUGGCCACGGGAUCGUGUUCAUCUCUCCUCUGAUCUUAGUGGCUCUGCAGACCAAGAGGGCAGCCUGAGGUCUGGAGGGCAAUGGGAAAACAGUGCACAGUGAAGGGUCAUAGACCCCGUGGGUCGAAUCAAAAAUGUUCACAGAGGAAUCCCAGGAGGGAUGCUGGAGGCCGCCAGUCAAUUCAGGAGGAAAGUGUGGCCCCCGAGGGUAAAUGAUGGGGUCUGGCAGAUUCUGAAGGAAGAGGAAAGAGGGAAGGGGAGCUUGCAGACGGGCCCAGCUGAAGACGGGGAGGCCAUCUCCUGCGUCCCUGGGGCUCACGCCAGCCAGGGGCGCCCUGUGGUCCUGCUCCCCCCAUGGAUCAGCAACAGGUGCCCUGUGCAGGAGCCCUGUCCAGGUGAACCAACCAUAGGCUGGGAAGGGCCAGCUGCUUCAGUGGCCCAGGUGUGGGGGCAGGUCCAACAAGGACAGCGGUGCCCUGGCUCAAGGGCCAUUCAGGGCCGGUUGAGGGAGAAUGUGCAUUUCUCAAAGGGCAGCUUCAGUCCUCCGAGUCAGCUUCCCAGGAAAC